RNAcentral lists this long non-coding RNA (950 nucleotides) under Nicotiana tabacum (common tobacco). RNAcentral describes it as "long non-coding RNA (NTAB_LNC002631)". The record is from RNAcentral. Lineage: Eukaryota; Viridiplantae; Streptophyta; Magnoliopsida; Solanales; Solanaceae.
GUUAUCAAACACCCAUCAUAAUAAUUAACAUAAAUUAUAGUUGAUACUUAGAUAAACAAAAUAUCAUUAAAACAUACUCAAAAUACACAUCACCCAAGAUUCAAGUUUAAGGUGCAUAGAGUUAAGAGAGUUACUCAAUAGUUACAACACAAAAAAACAUAGUUCAUCCUAACAAUAAUUACUAAUUAUUGUUUGCUCCAUUUUCAUAGUUACUUCCGUCAAAGGAUUUUCUAGGCCCAGUUGGUGACAGAACACCAUCUCCAACGCCAUCUCCAAUGCCAUCUCCAACGCCAUCUCCUAGAUUGGGUGCCUGCAUAACAUAAUAUUGAAAUUGGAGGAACCAAGAUUCUAAUUCUUUGAUAUGGGCUGAAACAAUAUGAGAUCAUAAUUGAAGAAGUGGCUGAAACAACAUUGAGGCUUGAGACACCAAAAACUUCAAUAGAUUUUUUGCUCAACUAAGUAAUGUUGAAGACAAUAAACAGAUGAAGAAGAUAGCUACGGUACAAUUACAAUAAAAAGUAUAGGGGUUGGAAGAGUGGAAAUAACAACGGAAUUUAGGUUGAUUUGAAAUAGGAUCAAGUUCCCAACCUAUGUUAUAGACUUACAGUUAAAUUAGGUUGAUUUGAAACAGGAAAAUAUACUUCAUAUAUAAUCACUGCUAUGUUGACCAUCAACCAAAUAUACUAACAAGCCACCUGCAACUUACCGUGUUACACAUUCUUGAAGCAAACCACCAAAGAUUCUCUUUAUAUAGCCAGUAUGAUAUUGUUUUUACAUAUUUUCAGCAAAUACAUCUUCUCUUAUACUUAAGCACAAACAUUGGAUUCAAGCACAUAAGUUGAAUAAUCAAAUAUAUAUAUAGGACAAAGAUAUUCAAAGUGAAAUUGUUACACUGCUGCAAUAUAUUGAGGAAAUAAAAGCAAGUUAACUGUUAGAAACCAAAGAAGUAC